This 1148-nucleotide long non-coding RNA is filed under the name Mus musculus (house mouse). RNAcentral describes it as "long non-coding RNA chr4:32007988-32009136". The record is from RNAcentral. Lineage: Eukaryota; Metazoa; Chordata; Mammalia; Rodentia; Muridae.
GGCCUUCCAUUGCUGACUGCUUGAAUGCCUGCUUCUCCGCUGGUGAGAGGCUCCUGCUAGAUUUCAGGGUUAGGGCUCCUCUCCCUUUUACAACACCCAGAUUUUCCAUGUCGUAGAACACCUCACAUCAGUACUUCUUAAUUUGUUUGGUUUUAAAAUAUAUUUUUAAUAUUAAUAUUCUAUUAACAUAACCUAGAGUGCUUUUUUACAUGGUUUAUCUUUUCUAUUUAACUUCAUUUUUUUCUAGUUGUUCACAUUUUUGUUGUUGUUUUAAUGGGAGGUGUGGAUGUGCAGGAGUAUGCAGGCGCCCGAGGAGGCUGGGUGUGUCAGAUCUCCUGGAGCUGGAGUUUCAGGCACAUGGGAGUCAUCUGAUGUAGGAGCUGAGAACCUGGCCUGGGCACUGUAGGAGAGCAGGGAGUGCUCCUAACAACCCGUCAUCUUUCCAGCCCCUGUUUUAACUUAUGUAAAUUAGAUUCAUCUCUUAGGAUCACAUUUAAUUCAUCCUGACUGUUGGAUGUUAUGUUAUGUUAUGUGUUUGUCUCUGUGUACGUGCACAUAUGCAUGCUACAUGUGUGUGGUCCCCAAAAAAGGCCAGAAUAGAACAUCAGAUUCCCUGGUGCCAGAGCUGUGAACCUCCUCAGCCCCCUGGAAAGUCAGCCCUGUAGAGACAGGAAGCACUUUUAACCACCAAGCCAUCUCUACCCCAGGGUUGGGGGUUGUGCUUUGUUGCAUUUUGUGCUUUAAUGGUGUAGUUUGCGUUUGUUCCUUUUCCUGGUAAACUAGUCCAUCUUUAUUUUAGACUCUUCUUUAUCCUCUUACCAUCUCUGAGGUGGAAUAGGUACAUUUCUCAUUUCUCAUCCCCUUUGCCUUUCUAGGUGAAAAGUUAGAUCAUGCCACUUGUAGUAAAUACCUUGGAGAUUUUAACAUUUGUACCAAGCCUGCUUUUCCUGAAAAACCCAAGCAUUUUAAAAGCAAUGUUCUUGCUUAUCCUGGUUUUAUGAUGCUGUAGAUUAUAUUUCUGUGUUGUUUGGUAGUUUUGUAAGUUCAUUACUGUCUUCUUACCUACUGUUUUCAGUAUGGAGAAGACUAGUACCCAUUCUUAUCAGGAUUUUCUUCAAGGAAACUGAAUUUUAGCCCUUUGGUCCAGG